AAUAGAAUGAAGGAGCUUCCUUCUGCCCAACCAUGGAUAUAUGUGAGGGAAGCCUUUGUUGCAAAAAUAAACUAUUAUUCAUUCAUUCAUAUAUAAUUAUGUGAAUGAAGUGGAAGAUGUAUAUUUUGCAGCCUUCUUUGGCUAUGUUUGGACUGAAGGGAGCUCCUUCUUUCUGUUGC
This 179-nucleotide microRNA precursor is filed under the name Lotus japonicus. Its description in RNAcentral is "MIR159 microRNA precursor family". It matches the Rfam family "MIR159 microRNA precursor family". The record is from Rfam by way of RNAcentral. Lineage: Eukaryota; Viridiplantae; Streptophyta; Magnoliopsida; Fabales; Fabaceae.